CCCAGCCAUGGUGGACCUGGGGCCUGCAGAGAAGGCGGGAGCCGAGCCUGUGGGCUUCUAAGAGGACAGGGCCACCACGCUUGUGCGCCGUGACACCCAGGGCGCCCAGCAGCCGGAGACCUUCUUCGCCUCGGCUUCCCCGGCUGUGCCCCCCAAGGCGGAAGUUCCGUGGGCAGCAAUAGAAGCCGGGAGGCGGGAGCAUCCCCUCUACUGCGCCUCGGCCUCUUCAACUGAGACUGUGUGGAGGCCGAAGGCAGCCUCUAAGUGCUGACCAGCCCCUUCCCUGGGCCCUCGCCAGAAGCUUGCGCCCGCUGCGCCUUCAAACCCGUGGAGCUGCUGCCACCAAACCCGUGGAGGCAGCCACUGGCUGACCUGGUGCUGGAGGCCUGGCCGCCCCUGCUAGUGGCCACUGGACUGCGCCAGGCGGGCGAGGCGGAGCGUCUGUCAAGCUGCAGCAACGCGGGACGAGCAUGAGAGGAUCGUGCAGGAGGAGAAGCAGCGCCUCUUUAUGGCCUUGGGUCCCGGGCGGUCAUGGUCUCCGGCUUCGGCCUCCAGUGUGAGCAGAAGCAGUAGCUGCGGCAGCGCUAGCCUCCCGGCCUCACCUGCACAGUGUGGCCCGCAAAGCCUCCUCCAGCGCCUCACCAGCUGGCGGACAGGGCUCUCCUGGAUCUUGCAGGUCUGUGCCUAGCAGCUGCCUGGGAAUAUUCCUGGAGGACCGGGACUGGAGGGUCCAGGUGGUUGUGCCUGCUGCAGAGGACACCAGGCACAUCUGGGUGAAGGUGACUUUGCAAUCAAGACUUCCCCUGUGUUGGUUGCGUUUUCAGAAGGAGAAAUAGUGACCCAAGUGCCUCCAGACAAAGGACUGCACCUGCAGGCUGCCCUUUUACAAUCUGAAGAACCUGAAAAGGAACCAGUACCGGCUCACAUACUAGAACAUGUCAUCUCUGAGGCAUGGUCAUCUGGCACUCCGGAAAGAGUUGUAGCUGCCCAUCCAGUAAAAAUUGAGCUCAAGGCAGGAUCAAAUCAACUCAGGUAUGUCAAUAUCCUGUGUGAGGAAAUGCAUUAAACCAGUAAUAGAACCUUGAAAGAAAGUGGACUCCCAGUGUUAAAACCUGGCACUAAUGGAGAAUAUAGAUUUGUCCAAGAUUUAAGGGUUAUAAACAAAAUUGUGAAAGAUAUCUAUCCAGUUGUGCCCAAUCCUUACACCCUAUUGACUUUACUGACUGGGAACUUCAAAUUUUUCUCUGUAUUAGACCUAAAGGAUGAUUUCUUUUGCAUAACUGUGGGCCUUGAAUCCCAAAAACUAUUUGCAUUUGAAUGGAGAGACCCAGACAGUAAAGUUAAGGAGCAACUUACAUGGACCGUUUUAUCCCAAGGAUUUAAGAAUUCUCCCACACUUUUUGGAGAGUUCUUAGCAAAAGAUUUGCAUGAUUUGCAACUGCAUCAAGGGGUCCUUUUGCAAUAUGUAGAUGACAUUUUCAUAGCCAGUGAAACUGCUGAAGAUUCAGAUGCAGAUGCUAUUAAGACCCUGAAAUUUCUAAAUGUUAGGGGAUAUAAAAUGUCUCAGAGGAAAGCUAAAAUCACUAAGCCCUGUGUAAAGUAUUUAGGGCAUUUGCUCUCCCAAGGUCAGACAUCCAUCCAGCCUGAUAGGUGCCAAGCACUGAUGAAUAUUUCAGCCCCUAAGACAAAGAGGCAGUUACAGGGAUUUCCAGGAAUGGCUGGUUUCUGCAGCAUCUGGAUCCCCAAUUUUGGGCUUAUUGCCAAAUUGUUGCACAUCACUGUGCAGGGCUCAGACAGAGAAACCCUGGAAUGGACUGCUGGAUGUA
This is a long non-coding RNA of Choloepus didactylus (southern two-toed sloth), 1826 nucleotides long. RefSeq lists it as uncharacterized. NCBI's taxonomy places the organism in Eukaryota, Metazoa, Chordata, Mammalia, Pilosa, Megalonychidae. The record is from RefSeq and is a predicted model, not a curated record. The transcript has 3 exons.